This 736-nucleotide long non-coding RNA is filed under the name Salmo salar (Atlantic salmon). RNAcentral describes it as "lncRNA (ENSSSAG00000092054.1)". The record is from RNAcentral. Lineage: Eukaryota; Metazoa; Chordata; Actinopteri; Salmoniformes; Salmonidae.
UUUCUGGUCUGGCUGGGGUGAGUGACAUCCAGCAGGUUUCUGGUCUGGCUGGAGGUGAGUGACAUCCAACUGGUUUCUGGUCUGGCUGGAGGUGAGUGACAUCCAACUGGUUUCUGGUCUGGCUGGGGUGAGUGACACCCAACUGGUUUCUGGUCUGGCUGGGGUAAGUGACAUCCAACUGGUUUCUGGUCUGGCUGGGGUGAGUGACAUCCAACUGGUUUCUGGUCUGGCUGGGGUAAGUGACAUCCAACUGGUUUCUGGUCUGGCUGGGGUGAGUGACAUCCAACUGGUUUCUGGUCUGGCUGGGGUAAGUGACAUCCAACUGGUUUCUGGUCUGGCUGGAGGUGAGUGACAUCCAACUGGUUUCUGGUCUGGCUGGAGGUGAGUGACAUCCAACUGGUUUCUGGUCUGGCUGGGGUGAGUGACAUCCAACUGGUUUCUGGUCUGGCUGGGGUAAGUGACAUCCAACUGGUUUCUGGUCUGGCUGGGGUGAGUGACAUCCAACUGGUUUCUGGUCUGGCUGGGGUAAGUGACAGAUCCCUUUCCCCUAUGGUUUUCUUUGUCGUAUUCAUUCUAAUACUGUAAAGAUUACACUUGUUCAGUGUUUGGGUCCACAGGAGCUCUGAGCCAAGUUAAGAAAACCCGUCGACAGGUCAAUUUCUCUGGCAGCUGCUGAACAAAUUAAAGCAACGUGACGCAGGAACAAUUUUCUUCUUUCUCUCUCUCUCUCUCUCUC